CCUACGGGUGGCAGCAGUAGGGAAUUUUCCACAAUGGGCGAAAGCCUGAUGGAGCAACGCCGCGUGGGUGAAGAAGGUCUUCGGAUCGUAAAACCCUGUUGUUAGAGAAGAAAGUGCGUGAGAGUAACUGUUCACGUUUCGACGGUAUCUAACCAGAAAGUCACGGCUAACUACGUGCCAGCAGCCGCGGUAAUACGUAGGUGGCAAGCGUUAUCCGGAUUUAUUGGGCGUAAAGGGAACGCAGGCGGUCUUAUAAGUCUGAUGUGAAAGCCUUCGGCUUAACCGGAGUAGUGCAUUGGAAACUGUGGGACUUGAGUGCAGAAGAGGAGAGUGGAACUCCAUGUGUAGCGGUGAAAUGCGUAGAUAUAACGCAGAACUCCGAUUGCGAAGGCAGCAUACCGGCGCGCAACUGACGCUCAGGCACGAAAGCGUGGGUAGCGAACAGGAUUAGAUACCCCUGUAGUC
This 465-nucleotide ribosomal RNA is filed under the name uncultured bacterium. RNAcentral describes it as "partial 16S ribosomal RNA". It matches the Rfam family "Bacterial small subunit ribosomal RNA", at positions 338 to 795 of the family's 1533-position model. The record is from RNAcentral.